Molecule: microRNA precursor, 84 nt
Filed under: Bombyx mori (domestic silkworm)
Lineage: Eukaryota; Metazoa; Arthropoda; Insecta; Lepidoptera; Bombycidae
Description: mir-2807 microRNA precursor family
Rfam family: mir-2807 microRNA precursor family
Source: Rfam by way of RNAcentral
UUAACUCAUAUUUGUGUGGAGUGAAAUCGUUUGCCUACGUUAGCCGCUAGGGGCGCUGUUCCAACUGCACACAAAAUUGGCUUA